RNAcentral lists this ribosomal RNA (253 nucleotides) under uncultured bacterium. RNAcentral describes it as "partial 16S ribosomal RNA". It matches the Rfam family "Bacterial small subunit ribosomal RNA", at positions 524 to 776 of the family's 1533-position model. The record is from RNAcentral.
UACGUAGGGUGCAAGCGUUAAUCGGAAUUACUGGGCGUAAAGCGUGCGCAGGCGGUGAUGUAAGACAGAUGUGAAAUCCCCGGGCUCAACCUGGGACCUGCAUUUGUGACUGCAUCGCUAGAGUACGGUAGAGGGGGAUGGAAUUCCGCGUGUAGCAGUGAAAUGCGUAGAUAUGCGGAGGAACACCGAUGGCGAAGGCAAUCCCCUGGACCUGUACUGACGCUGAGGCGCGAAAGCGUGGGGAGCGAACAGG